This 812-nucleotide ribosomal RNA is filed under the name Magnaporthaceae sp. RNAcentral's name for it is "partial large subunit ribosomal RNA". It matches the Rfam family "Eukaryotic large subunit ribosomal RNA", at positions 71 to 913 of the family's 3401-position model. The record is from RNAcentral. Lineage: Eukaryota; Fungi; Ascomycota; Sordariomycetes; Magnaporthales; Magnaporthaceae.
GGGAUUGCCCUAGUAACGGCGAGUGAAGCGGCAACAGCUCAAAUUUGAAAUCUGGCCCUAGGCCCGAGUUGUAAUUUGCAGAGGAUGCUUUUGGUUAGGUGCUUACCGAGUCCCCUGGAAUGGGGCGCCACAGAGGGUGAGAGCCCCGUAUGGUUUGCCACCGAGCCUCUGUAAAGCUCCUUCGACGAGUCGAGUAGUUUGGGAAUGCUGCUCUAAAUGGGAGGUAAAUUUCUUCUAAAGCUAAAUACCGGCCAGAGACCGAUAGCGCACAAGUAGAGUGAUCGAAAGAUGAAAAGCACUUUGAAAAGAGGGUUAAAUAGCACGUGAAAUUGUUGAAAGGGAAGCGCUUGUGACCAGACUUGCGCCGGGCGGAUCAUCCAGCGUUCUCGCUGGUGCACUCCGCCCGGCUCAGGCCAGCAUCGGUUUUCGCCGGGGGACAAAAGCUUCGGGAACGUAGCUCCCUUCGGGGAGUGUUAUAGCCCGUUGCAUAAUACCCCGGCGGGGACCGAGGACCGCGCUUCGGCAAGGAUGCUGGCGUAAUGGUCAUCAGCGACCCGUCUUGAAACACGGACCGAGGAGUCAAGCAUUAGUGCGAGUGUUUGGGUGUAAAACCCGCACGCGUAAUGAAAGUGAACGUAGGUGAGAGCUUCGGCGCAUCAUCGACCGAUCCUGAUGUUUUCGGAUGGAUUUGAGUAGGAGCAUUAACGCUUGGACCCGAAAGAUGGUGAACUAUACUUGAAUAGGGUGAAGCCAGAGGAAACUCUGGUGGAGGCUCGCAGCGGUUCUGACGUGCAAAUCGAUCGUCAAAUUUG